UCCCUGGAGGUCCAGUGGUUAGGGCUCCAAGCUUUUGCUGUGGAGGAUGCAGGUUCAAUCCCUGGUCAGGGAA
This 73-nucleotide transfer RNA is filed under the name Ovis aries (sheep). It matches the Rfam family "tRNA". From Rfam's summary of the family: Transfer RNA (tRNA) molecules are approximately 80 nucleotides in length. The record is from Rfam by way of RNAcentral. Lineage: Eukaryota; Metazoa; Chordata; Mammalia; Artiodactyla; Bovidae.